UCCAGCUGCUACUUGCAUAUUUUACCAGUAUUUUGCUGGUGCUGAUCUCUGACUCUGAAUGUGGGUAAUUCAGCAUAAAGAUAUCCUGCAAGAAAACAAACAAUUAAAAAAACAACUAAAUGUUCAUCUGAAUAAAAUGCUAAAAUGAGUUGGAAUAAAUAUUUACAUUAGAAUCAGACGCCUCCAAACUUCGGUGUCUGAUCUUAAUGAUGGUCCCUCAGUGAACCUUCACUAACAGGAGGGCCUGGAGGUGAGCUGACCGACCUCCUGCCACCAACACCGGGUGUAACUGAGUCAGAGAGCCCGCUGGAGAUUUUAGUUUUAAACUCAGUUAGGUGUUUUAAAAGAGAAACAUUAAACAUUUAAAUGUUAGGCUGUUGUCAAAACAUUUAUGGCCAACAGUAGCAGCUGACCGCGGGGGAACAUGGCGGCGGAGGGAGGGAGAAGCUAUCCGCCAUCUUUGAUUCUCCUGUCCGACAGACUAAAAAGAAAGCACCGGCCGCUCAGGACUUUACACCGAGCUAUGGAUGUGACAAGAGACCGCCUAACAGCUCUGGGUGUACCGCAGAGGACUUCACAUCAUCUCCGCGUGCACGUCCAGAGAGUCCACAGUGAGGUCGUAGGGGUCCAUGUUGAGUUUGUUGAAGACCUCUUUGAGUGUGAGCUUCUGGCCACCCUUCUCCAGGACCACGCGAUCUGCCUCCGUCUGUGUCUGAACACAUCAGCACACACAGUUUCCUGUCCAACAGACCUGUAUGAAGACAAACUUCACUGACCGUGCCUGCAGCUUCCUGACGGCCUCCUCAUCCUGUCUGGCACGCCGCUCAUCCUCCAGCGCGUCCUCCAGUUGGCGGUACAUGUCCUCCAGCUCCUGAACUCGCUGCAGGUACUGCUCCAGCUCAGUGGACUUCUGGGCCACCUGCUCCUCCAUCUGCUGCCGUACCUGUGGGACCAGGUCCGUCCUGUAUCGGUCCUGGAGUUCAGUCUGGGUCUGAAGACGCCUUCGUUCUUCUUCUGCUGCGUUAGCCGCAGCCUCCUCCAGAGCCUGUACGGAAGAGGAGAAAAGGGGCACGUUUUAUGGAAGACAACGUUACUGACCGGAGGAUUUUGUAUCUAUGCUGCUUUCUGCUUCCAUCAGAUUAAAUGGAGACUGCCUCCAAAGAUA
Epinephelus lanceolatus (giant grouper) is the source of this 1165-nucleotide long non-coding RNA. RefSeq lists it as uncharacterized. The record is from RefSeq and is a predicted model, not a curated record. Lineage: Eukaryota; Metazoa; Chordata; Actinopteri; Perciformes; Serranidae.